GACAGAGGGUGCAAACGUUGCUCGGAAUCACUGGGCGUAAAGGGCGUGUAGGCGGGCAUGCAAGUCAGGCGUGAAAUCCCUGGGCUCAACCCAGGAAUUGCACUUGAAACUGCAUGUCUUGAGUAUCGGAGAGGAAAGCGGAAUUCCUGGUGUAGAGGUGAAAUUCGUAGAUAUCAGGAGGAACACCGGUGGCGAAGGCGGCUUUCUGGACGAUAACUGACGCUGAGACGCGAAAGCGUGGGGAGCAAACAGG
Molecule: ribosomal RNA, 253 nt
Filed under: uncultured bacterium
Lineage: Bacteria
Description: partial 16S ribosomal RNA
Rfam family: Bacterial small subunit ribosomal RNA
Source: RNAcentral